Long non-coding RNA from Triticum aestivum (bread wheat), 601 nucleotides. RefSeq lists it as uncharacterized. NCBI's taxonomy places the organism in Eukaryota, Viridiplantae, Streptophyta, Magnoliopsida, Poales, Poaceae. The record is from RefSeq and is a predicted model, not a curated record. The transcript has 2 exons.
CCCCCAUACACCUUCGCCCAAACCCUCCCGUAUCAACCGCGAGAACGAGUUGGAUCUCGUCGGAAACUGCGAAGUUCACCGUCCGUUUGCAUGUCCGCGAGCCACUUGAGCUCAAACGCCGACCCGGAGUUCGCGUAGUUCGCCGGAGAAACAACCUCGCCCCGCAGCCGUCUGACGUCCCCAAGUUACUCCGCCGCCACCCCUGGGACUGAGACACUUCGCCACAUCCCCCCGACUCCACCAUCGCCGCCGACGACUGCCAGAGCGGCCGCCCCAAUCGCGCCCGAGCUCCCCCCAAUGCUACGUUCCUCUCUGUAAGCAACGAGAGGCUCCCUCCAUUUUUUUCGAAGCCUUAAGUGCAAAUAAGAUUAGAUCGGUUUUAGUAGAUCGGUUCUAUUAGUCGGUUUACUUCGGUUUAGAUCACACUGGUUCAUUGGUUUCUUUUUAUUAAAUGUACGUGCACAUUUCUAUAAAGUUUCGGCCGAGCGACGGUUAGUUACAGAUCGCUCAGAUCCUAGCCUAGUAGACUUGCCCGUUAUGUUUUAUUUUCGUUUCUAUAAAAAACAGAAAAGUUUCAAUCUUAGAUAUUCUAUAACUUUUA